Benincasa hispida (wax gourd) is the source of this 1935-nucleotide non-coding RNA. The record is from RefSeq and is a predicted model, not a curated record. Lineage: Eukaryota; Viridiplantae; Streptophyta; Magnoliopsida; Cucurbitales; Cucurbitaceae.
AGCGGCAUCCUCUUACAUUUUCUCUUUUAUUUUCAUUCUUUCUCAAAAGUGUGUGUUUCACGUUCCUCUUCUAAAAAACAUACAUGCCAACAAUUUCUAUUUCCUCCAUUUUCAUUUUCCCGAAUCCAGAAGUUGGGGCUCCGCCAACACAUUUCAAGCUACUUGGAGAAGAUUUUCUUUGCAGGGUUCUACGUGUACCAGCUCGUCCUCUCUCCCUCUCUCUCUCUCUCUAAACUAUUGGACACUUGAAGCUACCGAUUCGAGGACUUCUACUUGGGUUUGAAAACUCUCCUUAAAUCACCAAUUAAUUAGUUAAAAGCUUGCAGGUAGUUUAAGGAUAAAGUAUCAUUGGACUGGGGGUAUGGAUACAUAUACUUUGAUGCUAGUGUACUAAUGGAACCUAUGCACUAUGUUGAUGAUUCUGGUUGCAAUUGUUUUGGACAGGUGAGUUGGGUUCUCCCCACUGGGAGAAUUGUGGUCCAUCCUGGAUGGUGAGAAUCUUGUUAAAAAGUUCACAUUCUCAUGUGUUUAUACUUAUAUUUUUGAAGUCAAGAGUUAUAUUUGUUGGGUAAACCAUUUUUAGUGAUGCACAGGGUUGAAAAGUCUCAUUUAGACCCUUUCGACCUCUUUGUAAGUUGUAUACAUUAGUUUAUGACUCUUGGUGAUUCUCUUAUGACUGGUUUUGUUUUACAUUGGCUUGUGAUUAACAUUAGGUUCUACAUUGUCGUUAUUGUAAAUAAGUCAAUUGUGAAAAGAAACAAGUAUAUAAGGAAUAUUAUAAAACUUUGAAGUAUGUUUGGACUCUAAAAAAGCUUGUUCUUGUUGUUUAGGAGCAUAACUUUUAAUCUUCUUUUCUCCUUUUUGAAAAAUUUUGGUUUGGGAGGGGGUGGUUACUUAGAUGGUGGAUAUUUGCUUUCUACUAGUAAGAUGUUUGAUGAUUUGUCUCCAACACUAGACAGUAAUUCUUAAUGUGCUUUUCUUCUUCCGUUUUCAUUAGAAUGUGAGUAUUUGAUUUUCUAUUUUUGAUUAACAGGGCAUCUCGGUGAUGGUUUUUCAGUUCCAAUGAAACCACAAAAAUGGUUGUGGUUUGUGCUUACAUUUCAAUGUUUUUCAAUUCCACAGGCCACAUUCUCAAUGGUGGGUUUAGCUUGGUUUCAUGCUAUUGGCUGCUGCCAGUUGCUUCCUUAAAGAAAUUUAAUCAACCUUUUCUUUUGGGCCUGAAGAAAUACUCCCCUCCAAGUGUUUGAAGGGGAUUCAGGACUUCCAUCUUCAUCAGGUUGGACUCUCAAAACAUGCAAUGUCUUGACCAUGUGAAGGGAAAGAUAAGGUAGACCAAAAUAGAAAAGGAAAAGGAAGUAGAUGGGUAUCUAUAGCAAAUCAAGUGGACAAAAGCAAGACAAGGUAAUCAAAUUUAAGCCUACAGAGUGACCUUGCAUUCGCAUCGUAUGCCUAUGGUAUAGUUACUUUAGUAUUUGGUUUUGUUGAAAUUUGAUACUUUCCUAAUCUUGUUCUUGCAUAUUGAGUGAAACUUAAAGUGAUAACUAGAGAUUAUAUUGCUUGUGAUGAAGCGUUUUGAUAACUUUCUUAAUUACAGGUUGUAUUGCUUGUGUUGAAGCCUUUUAGAUCUCAAUGUCAAUUUCACCUCAAGAGAUAACUUCAUCACCAAAUGUUCUUCCAUUGUUUGGUUCAAUUUGACUCAUAAUCCAACUUUCACUUCAUCCAACUCGAGUUGUCGAAGCUCUUUAUCCAUAAUCUCAAUCCAGUUUGGCUCAAAGAUGGAAGCUUAAUUCUAUGAUGACAUAAUUUUGAACGCUUGUAAAUUUUAUAUUUUAUGAACUUAUAUAGUUGCAAAUUAUAUUUGGUGUAUUUUUAUUGUUGGAUAAUUUUAUUAUUUUAUAAUGUACAAAUGGAUUACAAAUUUUUAUUAUUAAAGGA